UCGUGCAAAAUUCUUAAUUUUCUAGGGGGGAUUGUUUUAUAUUUUAAGCGAAACAGAUAUUGUGGAUUUUAAUGUCGUUGGAGAAAGGAAGUAGAAAGUAAUUGCGGAGAAAUUAACGCCUGUAAUGAGGUGCUGAUUUUGCUUUGUGUUUGUCACCAGGUAGAAUAGCAUGUAGAUCUGCAUUAAAGAAUCUCUUCUGUAUUCUUGUAGAAUCUGAAAGCACUUCAAAGCUUUUUUCUGCAGGUGGAUUACAUUCUCAGAGACUAUGGACUGGUAAAAGAGUGUUUACUGGUGAGAACAAGACGAAGACAUCCAAGUCUGGGAAUAUUAAUAUGAGAAAACACCUGUAUCUGUGACAAAACAUACAACAAAUAACCUGUUAAAAAGCAUUGAUCAAAAAACACCAAUGUGAUAUUUUGUCUAGAUGUUCAGGAUAAAGUGUGAAAUAAAUUGAAUGCAAAAAAAAAAAAAAAAA
Xyrauchen texanus (razorback sucker) is the source of this 475-nucleotide long non-coding RNA. RefSeq lists it as uncharacterized. NCBI's taxonomy places the organism in Eukaryota, Metazoa, Chordata, Actinopteri, Cypriniformes, Catostomidae. The transcript is spliced from 2 exons. The record is from RefSeq and is a predicted model, not a curated record.